AAAUUAUUUCAAUUUUCUUUCACAAUACUAUUACACUAUAAUUAAAAUUAUUUUUUCAUUAUUCAUUACUAAAACAAAUCUUUUUAUAAUUAUUUUUAAUAAUUUAAACUUUAAAAAAUAUAAAUUAAUAAAUAAAAUAUAAUCAAUUUAUAUUGAUUUGCACAAAAAUCUUUUCAAUGUAAAUGAAAUGCUUUACUUAAUAAGCUUUAAAUUGCAUUCUAGGUACACUUUCCAGUACAUCUACUAUGUUACGACUUAUCUUACCUUAAUAGUAAGAGUGACGGGCGAUGUGUGCAUAUUUUAGAGCUAAAAUCAAAUUAUUAAUCUUUAUAAUUUUACUAUCAAAUCCACCUUCAAUAAAUAUUUCAAAUUUAUAUCCAUAUAAAUAAUUUUAUUGUAACCCAUUUCUACUUAAAUAUAAGCUACACCUUGAUCUGAUAUAUUUUCUUUUAAAAAAUUAUGAAAAUUAACAUUCUUAUAAAAUAUUCUAAUAACGACGGUAUAUAAACUGAUUACAAAUUUAAGUAAGGUCCAUCGUGGAUUAUCGAUUAUAGAACAGGUUCCUCUGAAUAGACUAAAAUACCGCCAAAUUUUUUAAGUUUCAAGAACAUAACUA
RNAcentral lists this ribosomal RNA (616 nucleotides) under Okeniella caudata. Its description in RNAcentral is "partial 12S ribosomal RNA". The record is from RNAcentral. Lineage: Eukaryota; Metazoa; Arthropoda; Insecta; Diptera; Scathophagidae.